Molecule: non-coding RNA, 182 nt
Filed under: Rhodosalinus sediminis
Lineage: Bacteria; Pseudomonadati; Pseudomonadota; Alphaproteobacteria; Rhodobacterales; Paracoccaceae
Source: RNAcentral
GCUUCGGUUCCGCCGUCAUGGGCGGCGGAUGAAAAGGGAACGCGGUGCGGGGGUCUCCCCCAAAGCCGCGGCUGCCCCCGCAACUGUGAGCGGCGAGCGACACCGGCACACGCCACUAUCGCCCAAGCGAUGGGAAGGCCCGGUCGAGCGAGGACCCGCGAGCCAGGAGACCUGCCGAGGCG